This 23-nucleotide microRNA is filed under the name Salmo salar (Atlantic salmon). RNAcentral's name for it is "ssa-miR-29c-5p". Its record names the gene ssa-miR-29c-5p. Lineage: Eukaryota; Metazoa; Chordata; Actinopteri; Salmoniformes; Salmonidae. The record is from miRBase by way of RNAcentral.
ACUGUUUUCUUUUGGUGUUUAGA